RNAcentral lists this transfer RNA (72 nucleotides) under Marmota monax (woodchuck). It matches the Rfam family "tRNA". From Rfam's summary of the family: Transfer RNA (tRNA) molecules are approximately 80 nucleotides in length. Their secondary structure includes four short double-helical elements and three loops (D, anti-codon, and T loops). Lineage: Eukaryota; Metazoa; Chordata; Mammalia; Rodentia; Sciuridae. The record is from Rfam by way of RNAcentral.
GGAAGUGUAGGUCAUUGGUAGAGCAUGUGCUUAGCAUGCACAGGGCCCUGGGUUCAAUACCCUGCACAUACA